Notothenia coriiceps (black rockcod) is the source of this 311-nucleotide long non-coding RNA. RefSeq lists it as uncharacterized. The transcript is spliced from 4 exons. Lineage: Eukaryota; Metazoa; Chordata; Actinopteri; Perciformes; Nototheniidae. The record is from RefSeq and is a predicted model, not a curated record.
GCCCGAACAUCUUCCAUCUGUCAACAGAAGGAGAGGACCUCCGAGACCAGGAGUCUGUCAGCAGAGUUUUGGCCGAGCUGUUAGACAACCAGGAGGGCCUGUUCGACUCGGAGGAAGAUGACGUCUCCACCACCAACGACUACAGCUCCAUCAACGAACAGAUCACAGAGCUGUUGGACGAUGAGAAGUGUGAAGCUGAAUGUGAAGAGCUGCCUCAGGACGGAGAGGACGGUCCUGCCUCCUCUGACUCACCACAACACACACUCACUGACGACAGCUCCACAGACAGGUGCGUCUCUGGCUUUUAUUCU